GGGUGCGAUCAUACCAGCACUAAUGCACCGGAUCCCAUCAGAACUCCGCAGUUAAGCGUGCUUGGGCGAGAGUAGUACUAGGAUGGUGACCUCCUGGGAAGUGCUCGUGUUGCACCCG
RNAcentral lists this ribosomal RNA (118 nucleotides) under Corchorus capsularis. The record is from RNAcentral. Lineage: Eukaryota; Viridiplantae; Streptophyta; Magnoliopsida; Malvales; Malvaceae.